RNAcentral lists this ribosomal RNA (253 nucleotides) under uncultured bacterium. Its description in RNAcentral is "partial 16S ribosomal RNA". It matches the Rfam family "Bacterial small subunit ribosomal RNA", at positions 524 to 776 of the family's 1533-position model. The record is from RNAcentral.
UACAGAGGGUGCAAGCGUUGUUCGGAAUUAUUGGGCGUAAAGCGCGUGUAGGCGGCUCUUCAAGUCAGGCGUGAAAGCCCCGGGCUCAACUCGGGAACUGCGCUUGAUACUGUCGAGCUAGAGUGUGGAAGGGGCGAUUGGAAUUCCGUGUGUAGCGGUGAAAUGCGUAGAUAUACGGAGGAACACCAGAGGCGAAGGCGGAUCACUGGGCCAACACUGACGCUGAGACGCGAAAGCUAGGGUAGCAAACGGG